GAACGUUCGGUAUGGCGUUUUUCAUUUUUUUUUGUUUUUUUUUUUGCAAAUCCGUUACAAGUAAAAAUAUCUAGGCCAAUGAGACAAUAUGACCAAGUAAAUUUUAUGUGCAGUGUGUUGCAGACGAUGAAUUCAAACAUAAUGCCAUAGCGGCUUUACGUCCUUGGUCAUAGAACCGAUGCCACACGGGUUUUCAUGUCUUGUUGCUUGUUACUACGGCGUGUGUUUUUGUUAAACAUGAAUUAGUAACGUUUUAUGUAUAUGAAAUGCAUGCAAUUGCUAAGAUUCCGAGUUGUAUUGUAUUUUAUUAUUAUUAUUAUUAUUUUUUUUUUUUUGUAAACCCUCCGAGUUGUAUUGUAUAUAAAUCAAAUAGACUAGAGAACCAAUUCGAAUAUUGUGUCGUGGUAAAGACAAAAUCGACAUACAAAAAAUAAAAAAUAAAGAUGAAAACAUAGUAUAAACUUGAAUUUUGA
RNAcentral lists this long non-coding RNA (473 nucleotides) under Capsella rubella. RNAcentral's name for it is "long non-coding RNA (CRUB_LNC004408)". The record is from RNAcentral. Lineage: Eukaryota; Viridiplantae; Streptophyta; Magnoliopsida; Brassicales; Brassicaceae.